AUGAAUCUGUUAAGCUGGAUCUGCCGGGGUUUAGGCAACGCCCCGACAGUUCAAGAAUUGCGCGAACUCGCAUUAAAGUUUGCCCCUAGAGUACUUUGUAUUUUGGAAACGCAAAUUAGCCAAGAGAGAGAUGAAAGUUUAGCAAGUACUGUAGGAUAUGAUAGUUCUUUUGCUGUUGGAUCCACCCGUCGGAGCGGUGGCUUAGUUUUGUACUCGAACAAUGAAAUAAAAGUUGAAAUUUUGGGUUACUCGCAGUAUCACAUUGAUGUCAAGGUGUCGGAUCUCGGAGGGACCCCGUGGAGGCUCUCGUGUUUCUAUGGAGAAGCCCAGACACACCUAAGACACAGAACUUGGGACACAAUGAAGAACCUGGUGUCGCUACAAAGUAUGUCGUGGGCAUGUUUAGGCGACUUCAACGAGGUCCUUCGAUAUGACGAGCAUGAUGGUGUUGGUCAGAGAAGCCAAACACAAAUACAAGGUUUCAUAGAUGCGGUCGAUGUUUGCGGCAUGAUUGAUCUUGGUUUCCAAGGCCAGAAGUGGACGUUUGAACGAAAGUUACAGGAGGUACGUACACGAGGGUGCGGCUUGACAGAGCGCUCGAAUCUGCCGAGUGGUGCGCACAAUUCCCACUAG
This 633-nucleotide ribosomal RNA is filed under the name Triticum aestivum (bread wheat). RNAcentral describes it as "partial small subunit ribosomal RNA". Lineage: Eukaryota; Viridiplantae; Streptophyta; Magnoliopsida; Poales; Poaceae. The record is from RNAcentral.